RNAcentral lists this unclassified non-coding RNA (391 nucleotides) under soil metagenome. Its description in RNAcentral is "partial contains 5.8S ribosomal RNA, internal transcribed spacer 2, and large subunit ribosomal RNA". The stretch from base 1 to 122 matches the Rfam family "5.8S ribosomal RNA", at positions 35 to 154 of the family's 154-position model. The record is from RNAcentral.
GAUGAAGAACGCAGCGAAAUGCGAUACUUGGUGUGAAUUGCAGAAUCCCGUGAACCAUCGAGUCUUUGAACGCAAGUUGCGCCCGAAGCCAUUAGGCCGAGGGCACGCCUGCCUGGGCGUCACACGUCGUUGCCCCCCCAUCUACUCCUUCGGGAUUGCGGGGGGCGGAUGAUGGCCUCCCGUGCGCUUCGCCGCGCGGUUGGCAUAAAUGCCAAGUCCUCGGCGACGCACGCCACGACAAUCGGUGGUUGCGAAACCUCGGUUGCCCGUCGUGUGCGGUCGUCGCGCAUCGAGGGCUCGAAAAAAUUGCCGGGUUCCGGCUCGGCUUUCAACGCGACCCCAGGUCAGGCGGGGUUACCCGCUGAAUUUAAGCAUAUCAAUAAGCGGAGGA